RNAcentral lists this ribosomal RNA (544 nucleotides) under Candidatus Neomicrothrix parvicella. Its description in RNAcentral is "bacterial SSU rRNA". It matches the Rfam family "Bacterial small subunit ribosomal RNA", at positions 337 to 916 of the family's 1533-position model. Lineage: Bacteria; Bacillati; Actinomycetota; Acidimicrobiia; Acidimicrobiales; Microthrixaceae. The record is from RNAcentral.
UCCUACGGGAGGCAGCAGUAGGGAAUCUUGCGCAAUGGGCGAAAGCCUGACGCAGCAAUGCCGCGUGCGGGACGAAGGCCCUAGGGUCGUAAACCGCUUUCAGUAGGGACGAAAAUGACGGUACCUGCAGAAGAAGCUCCGGCCAACUACGUGCCAGCAGCCGCGGUGAUACGUAGGGAGCAAGGUAAAGGGCUCGUAGGUGGUUGAGUAAGUCAGAUGUGAAAUCUCAGGGCCCAACCCUGAGCCUGCAUUUGAUACUGCUCUGACUAGAGUCCGGUAGGGGAGUGCGGAACUCCUGGUGUAGCGGUGAAAUGCGCAGAUAUCAGGAAGAACACCGACAGCGAAGGCAGCACUCUGGGCCGGUACUGACACUGAGGAGCGAAAGCAUGGGUAGCAAACAGGAUUAGAUACCCUGGUAGUCCAUGCCGUAAACGUUGGGCACUAGGUGUGGGGAGAACUCAACUCUCUCCGCGCCGUAGCUAACGCAUUAAGUGCCCCGCCUGGGGAGUACGGCCGCAAGGCUAAAACUCAAAGGAAUUGACGG